This 253-nucleotide ribosomal RNA is filed under the name uncultured bacterium. RNAcentral describes it as "partial 16S ribosomal RNA". It matches the Rfam family "Bacterial small subunit ribosomal RNA", at positions 524 to 776 of the family's 1533-position model. The record is from RNAcentral.
UACGGAGGGUGCGAGCGUUGUCCGGAAUCAUUGGGCGUAAAGGGCGCGUAGGUGGCUUCUUAAGCGUGCGGUGAAAGCCUGGGGCUCAACCCCGGGUCGGCCGUGCGAACUGGGGGGCUGGAGCACUGUAGAGGCAGGCGGAAUUCCGGGUGUAGCGGUGGAAUGCGUAGAGAUCCGGAAGAACACCGGUGGCGAAGGCGGCCUGCUGGGCAGUUGCUGACACUAAGGCGCGACAGCGUGGGGAGCAAACAGG